AUGGACUCAGCCAAGAGCCGUGGAGGAGCUAAAGAUCCCAAGCUAGCGAAGGUCAUAGUGCCUGAUAAGAGCUCCUUCAAAGAGAAGGACAUCUUUGAAUGCCGAACCCAACUGCGGUUGACAACAACAGUGACCUGCCAUGAGACCAGUGUGGAAACCCUCUCCCAGCAAACUAUUGUCACAGGAAGUUCUGGCAUAGCUAAGCACAGGCCUGCUAUAAUUACUCCUCUGCAUCAAAGGCCGUCUGUUUUCCAGCCUGGAGGGAAGGAAUCCCAGUGCGCUAAAAUUCACCUGCCCUCUGCCACUUCCCUGGAAAAAGGGUAUGAUGUUCAAGGCACAUGGAAGGGCAGAAGUGGGGCUGGGAGGGUAUCCCUAUGCGAUGAAAGGAUGCCAAACAGCCACACCCCUGGAAAGCAGAUUUCUCCUUUUCAAUUGGAGGAGCUAAGGCAUGGCGGCAAUCAAGGGACAGUCACAGCACCCUUACCACCAAAGUUCCAGGAGCCCCCUAGAGGUCUCUCACGCCAUCAGCUGGAAUGUUCCAUUCUUGCCUCUCUGAGUGUGAAGCAAGUGGUCAAGGAUCUACGGCAGAGUGUGAUACGAGGUUUGGAAAUAGUUGACGGGGUGUUAAGGGCCAAGUACCCCAUCUGCAAUUCUUGUGGGACCUGCAGCCCCUGUUGUUCCCAUCCUCAUUCCGAACAUGACCCUCUCCUACAUAUUUACCCACAGAAAACUGUGUGUAAUGGGCAGGUUCGCAUGCAUCUGAACUGCCAACUAAAAAUCAAGCAAACCCAUGCCAAAAACAGGGGCCUGUUGAAGACUGGAGGGGUGAAUGUUCUGAAGGAACAGAGAAAGGAACCAGACUGCGACAGUAGCAGUGGAAGGGAAAGUAUCCCAGUUGAAUGGCCCUCUGGGGGUCCGGCACCAGCAAGAGUAAAGCAAGACCAGGCCAAACAGCACUCAAACUACAAUGACUCUCCCAAAACUAUGCUUUGCCAGAAGCUUAAGCAUUCUGUGCUCAGUUCCAUGAGCAUGGAUCAGCUGAUGAAGGAUCUACAUCUGAGCAUGCAUCGUGGCUCAGAAAAGAAAUGUCAGAAGGUGAAGUCUGAAUGCUCUGUAUGCUGUCUGUGUGGCAGCUGCCGACCCAGCUGCCCCCACCCUCAUAGCCUGGAAUAUGGCACCCUCCUUCUCUACCCUUGGUUGGCUAUCCAUGGUGGGCAACUGCCCAUGGAUUUAGACUUCUAUCUAAAGAUGAAGAGGAACCAUGCAAGGAAAUGGGGGCUGAUGAAGGCAACGGAAGCACAUACAGUGCAGACACCACACCCUCAAGGAGAAGCCAAAUUCUGUCUUUCCUCCUCCCUAACUGAAAGGUAG
This 1371-nucleotide long non-coding RNA is filed under the name Pogona vitticeps (central bearded dragon). Its description in RNAcentral is "lncRNA (ENSPVIG00000000302.1)". Lineage: Eukaryota; Metazoa; Chordata; Lepidosauria; Squamata; Agamidae. The record is from RNAcentral.